Molecule: unclassified non-coding RNA, 343 nt
Filed under: soil metagenome
Description: partial contains 5.8S ribosomal RNA, internal transcribed spacer 2, and large subunit ribosomal RNA
Rfam family: 5.8S ribosomal RNA (bases 1-120)
Source: RNAcentral
GAUGAAGAACGUAGCGAAAUGCGAUAAGUAAUGUGAAUUGCAGAAUUCAGUGAAUCAUCGAAUCUUUGAACGCACAUUGCGCCCGCCAGCAUUCUGGCGGGCAUGCCUGUUCGAGCGUCAUUUCAACCCUCGAGCCCCCCCGGGGGCCUCGGUGUUGGGGGACGGCACACCAGCCGCCCCCGAAAUGCAGUGGCGACCCCGCCGCAGCCUCCCCUGCGUAGUAGCACACACCUCGCACCGGAGCGCGGAGGCGGUCACGCCGUAAAACGCCCAACUUUCUUAGAGUUGACCUCGGAUCAGGUAGGAAUACCCGCUGAACUUAAGCAUAUCGAUAAGCGGGGGA